AGGCGAUUAGUUUAAGAAAAACACUUGAUUUCGGCUCAAAAGCUUAUGGUUAGAAUCCAUAAUCACCUU
RNAcentral lists this transfer RNA (69 nucleotides) under Balistoides conspicillum (clown triggerfish). Its description in RNAcentral is "tRNA-Arg". It matches the Rfam family "tRNA". Rfam says of the family: Transfer RNA (tRNA) molecules are approximately 80 nucleotides in length. Their secondary structure includes four short double-helical elements and three loops (D, anti-codon, and T loops). The record is from RNAcentral. Lineage: Eukaryota; Metazoa; Chordata; Actinopteri; Tetraodontiformes; Balistidae.